Molecule: ribosomal RNA, 377 nt
Filed under: uncultured bacterium
Lineage: Bacteria
Description: bacterial SSU rRNA
Rfam family: Bacterial small subunit ribosomal RNA
Source: RNAcentral
GUAGUCCACGCUGUAAACGAUGAGAACUAGGCGUUGGGAGGUUUUACCUUCUAGUGCCGAAGCUAACGCGUUAAGUUCUCCGCCUGGGGAGUACGGCCGCAAGGCUAAAACUCAAAGGAAUUGACGGGGGCUCGCACAAGCGGUGGAGCAUGUGGUUUAAUUCGAUGCAACGCGAAGAACCUUACCUACCCUUGACAUCCCAGGAAUCCUUCAGAGAUGAGGGAGUGCCUUCGGGAACCUGGAGACAGGUGCUGCAUGGCUGUCGUCAGCUCGUGUCGUGAGAUGUUGGGUUAAGUCCCGUAACGAGCGCAACCCUUGUCCUUAGUUGCCACCAGUUCGGCUGAGCACUCUAAGGAGACUGCCGGUGAUAAACCGGA